Molecule: long non-coding RNA, 609 nt
Filed under: Rattus norvegicus (Norway rat)
Lineage: Eukaryota; Metazoa; Chordata; Mammalia; Rodentia; Muridae
Description: long non-coding RNA NONRATT000618
Source: RNAcentral
UACCCACGUAAUUUUAUUUAGUUCCAACAAUUGCUCUCAGUUCAGGGUCAACAGACUAUCCUAUCCCCUGCAUCCUCUGUAUUCCCCGCAUCCCCGCAUCCCUUCCGGGGAAGGUCAAAGGGCUACCGACAAAAGACAACAAAUGCACGUGACAAAAGUUUCUCCCGUGGUCCCCGCAGCCCGAGGCUGCGCAGCUCGCGCGUGGGGAUCUCGGUCUCACGCAGAGAGGGCUGGCCACGUUAGAAGCUGCUCAGAGUCGCGGUCGCAUGCGGAAGCCGGCCAAGACCGGAACCAAGCGAGGCCUGUUACCUUUUCCUGCUCCUCGCGAAGCCGCGCCACCUCUGGUGCGCGCAGCGGAGCGGCGGCUGAGGCCUCUGCAAAGGGCUGGGGCUCGGGCUCCGGUUCGGACGGGGGCUCCAUGCCCGGCGUCGCAGCCUCAGCGAGGCGAACAAGUCCUAAACAAGUGUUUAUGGAGGCGGCGUGGCCGACGGAUGCCCAGAGCCCGCGCGCUCGCCCUCAUGCACAGCACGCCUCUCUCUGAAGAGGCCGCGCUCACUUUCCCCGCUGCCCCGGGGGCCGCCGCUCGCGUCCGGGCUACCCGCGGCCGCA